Long non-coding RNA from Apteryx haastii (Great spotted kiwi), 1053 nucleotides. Lineage: Eukaryota; Metazoa; Chordata; Aves; Apterygiformes; Apterygidae. The record is from Ensembl.
GCAUGUUUUUCCCGUACUGAAAAACGUUACGAGGUCUCGCAAAGAUCUAAUUAUCUGGCAGUGUUUCUCCGCACAGCACUGCCCCGUGCAGUGUCUGCGGGGCGGCAGCCCUGCACCCCCCCUGCUCCCUUCCCCUCUGGCCACGCAGGAGGCACCGCUCUCCCUCCCUCCCCGGGCCGCGGGGCGGAGCAGCCCGCGCCGCCUCUCGGCCUCCUGGGCGGCCCCGCGCCGCCGCCGCCGCGCUUGGCUCCUCGGGGCCGCCGUAGGCGCCGCGCUUCCGGUGUGCGGCCGGAUGACGUGGCCGGGGGGAGCGGAAGUGGCGUCGGCUGGUCGGCGUUGGCGGCGGGGCGCGGGCCGGCUCGGCGGCGGGGCCUGCUGCGUGCGCGGGGACGCCCAGGGCCGAGAUGGCGGCGCCCGGCCUGCUGCUGUGCGCGGCCGCCGCCGCGCUGCUCCUGCUCCGCCUGCCGCUGCGCGCCCGCGCUGACGAGCACGAGCACACGGUGGGUGGUGGCUCGGCCGCGGCCCGGCCCGGCGCGGCGCGGCCGCCUGACGGGGGGAGCGGGGCGGCGGCUUCGCCGCGGGCGCGGCGCGUCCCGUCCCGUCCCGUCCCGACGGCGCCCUGGGCCUGCCGGGCGCGGCGCGCUCGGGCGCCCCCGGGCUGCUCUCCGCCAGCGCGGCCUCCUGGCGCUGCGCGGCAGCGGGGGAGCCGCGGCGGCGGGCCGGUGCGCGCUGCGCCCGUGGCGCCGCGUCCGCCUUUUCCCGGAGCAGCGGGCGCCGGCGCGGGGGCGCCGCCUUGGUGCGGGGAGGCCCGGGCUGUGUUUGCCCGCGCUCUGCCUGAGCGCCGGCUGCUUCCGGGAGGGCGUUAGCGGGCGAACCGGGUCGAGGGGCUGCCCUUGCGCGCCCGCCGGAACGGGCUGCAGCGGGGCAGCUCCCGGCAGGGGAGCAAACGUGUCCUGGCGGGUGCGAACCGAGGGGCAGAGCAGGCCCGGGGGCUGCCUGGCGUGGGCGCGGACACGGUUCCCUACAGAAAAUGCGUUCAUAAAACGCUGUUGA